UACGUAGGGGGCAAGCGUUGUCCGGAAUCAUUGGGCGUAAAGAGCGUGUAGGCGGCCCGAUAAGUCCGCCGUGAAAGUCCAGGGCUCAACCCUGGAAUGCCGGUGGAAACUGUCGGGCUGGAGUCCGGAAGAGGCGAGUGGAAUUCCUGGUGUAGCGGUGAAAUGCGCAGAUAUCAGGAGGAACACCAGUAGCGAAGGCGGCUCGCUGGGCCACACCUGACGCUGAGACGCGAAAGCUAGGGGAGCGAACAGG
RNAcentral lists this ribosomal RNA (253 nucleotides) under uncultured bacterium. RNAcentral's name for it is "partial 16S ribosomal RNA". It matches the Rfam family "Bacterial small subunit ribosomal RNA", at positions 524 to 776 of the family's 1533-position model. The record is from RNAcentral.